GACCCGGUAGCGGAUGGUCCGCCCCUACAUUCUAUAACUGACAUAAUUCGAUGUCGCAGGUGUCGCUCGUUCGAAUCGAGCCCGGGUCU
Molecule: non-coding RNA, 89 nt
Organism: Mycena rosella
Lineage: Eukaryota; Fungi; Basidiomycota; Agaricomycetes; Agaricales; Mycenaceae
Source: the annotation of a GenBank genome assembly